AAGCUUGGUAUCACCUCUUGGUUUUUCUUUGUUGUUGAAGUGUAAUAGAUAGUUUCUAAAUACUAAAAAGUGAGUCUUUGGAAUAAAUCAAAGAUUGAUUUAUGAGUUAUUGAUUAUAUAAUUGGAGCAUUGAGUGAUUGAAUUAUAUGAAGAGUUAUUAGAAGAUUAUGAUUAUUGUUUAUUGAAAGCUGUGUGUGUUUCGACAGAGGAAGUCUGUGAUUACAAAAAUUAUGUGAAUUCAGAUUAAUUGGAGUGAAGUCUAUUAAUUCUUGUGUUAGAUAGUAAUUAUGUAUUUUGAGUGGUCUUUUGAGAGUGCAGGGUUGCACACUAUUAUUAUCAGUUGAUGAAGGAGUAUUAUUAUUGGGAGAAAGCAUUGUAAUAUUUUUUGGUGUUUUAGUGGUUUGGAAUAUGGUUAAUUGUGUAACUCUAACAAGUAAAACUCAUACAUUUAGUCUUUCCCUGUGUUCGAAUUCUCCCAUAUAGGUUUAUUCUGAAAGGAAUUGAAGAAUAAGUAAAAGAAGAAUCACAGCCGCUAUCUAAU
Molecule: long non-coding RNA, 541 nt
Filed under: Physcomitrium patens
Lineage: Eukaryota; Viridiplantae; Streptophyta; Bryopsida; Funariales; Funariaceae
Description: long non-coding RNA (PPAT_LNC001158)
Source: RNAcentral